CCUAUAUUUUGGGGCGAUUUUGGUUUUAGUCCCCCUUUCAAACUAUAGUACAAUUUAGUCCUUCAACUUUAGAAAACUCUGGUUUAAAUUGUACUAUAGUUUGAAAGAGGGACUAAAACCAAAAUCGCCCCAAAGUAUAGGGAC
This 144-nucleotide microRNA precursor is filed under the name Vigna radiata var. radiata (mung bean). RNAcentral's name for it is "pre miRNA mir-286". It matches the Rfam family "mir-286 microRNA precursor family". The record is from RNAcentral. Lineage: Eukaryota; Viridiplantae; Streptophyta; Magnoliopsida; Fabales; Fabaceae.